Molecule: long non-coding RNA, 804 nt
Organism: Alexandromys fortis (reed vole)
Lineage: Eukaryota; Metazoa; Chordata; Mammalia; Rodentia; Cricetidae
Exons: 2
Source: RefSeq, a predicted model, not a curated record
UCCGCGAGCCGCACAAGGUGGCGGCUGCACCAAUCCCUUCAGCAACAGCUCGAGAUCGGCCAAUGAACGUCAGUAUUAUUGGAGAACCAAUUCCGGACAACCAAUGGGAAGGGAACUUCUGGAGCAGCGUGAAGUCGCAGUUCUUCCAUCUUGGAACAGGGCCGCCCGGACUCCGCCCUCAUCUUGAGGUGUUGCCCACGUGGUCUGAUCUGGCUUCUGCUUAGUUGCACACACAGGCACACACACCGGCUUGAGUUCCCUGCAGAAACAGACCCUGAGUACGGGUGGAGUCGGUGUUGAAUCCAGGAGUGCGUUCCUAGAGUCACGGUGGAAGAUGACUGAGUAAGCUUGUGGAUGCUCGCGGUCGGAAACUACCGACUAGGGAACCGGAGAAAGGCAGAUGAUGUGUGCGACAGAAAGAGCCUCCAACCCUGGUCCGUCCCCCACUCGCGCGUCUCAUGGGGGCAGCAGCGCCUGGCGUUCUUCUGCUCCACACGGCAGUAGGAAUUCCCCAUUUACAGAUGAGGAAACCGAUGCUGAGGUGAAAAGACCAAACUUCUGGAAGAUGGCCCCAGGAUUGGAACCUUUAAAGUCAAGACGUGUCAAGUACCUACAAAAUGGAAAAACUUUGCAGGGACAAAAGACAUCCACCAGCCUUCUGUGAUUUGGGAAGUUGGCUCUGAGUAGACUUUGGGGAUUACUAAAAGACCUGGAUUCGGAGAAUAACAUUCAAUCAAAACUUUGUAGCUUGCUGUUCUUCUCAACUUUUUAUUAUUAAAUAAAAAGUCAAAUUCUUGAUUUUGA